AAUCAACGCUGGCGGCGUGCCUAACACAUGCAAGUCGAACGCGAAAGCCCCGCAAGGGGCAAGUAGAGUGGCAAACGGGUGAGUAACACGUGGGUGACCUGCCUUCGAGCGGGGGAUAACGUCCCGAAAGGGACGCUAAUACCGCAUAACAUCCUGCCUUUGAAGAGGUGGAGAUCAAAGCUGGGGAUCGCAAGACCCGGCACUUGAAGAGGGGCCCGCGUCUGAUUAGCUAGUUGGNGGGGUAAUGGCCUACCAAGGCAACGAUCAGUAUCCGGCCUGAGAGGGCGGACGGACACACUGGGACUGAGACACGGCCCAGACUCCUACGGGAGGCAGCAGUGGGGAAUUGUUCGCAA
This 356-nucleotide ribosomal RNA is filed under the name uncultured bacterium. RNAcentral's name for it is "bacterial SSU rRNA". It matches the Rfam family "Bacterial small subunit ribosomal RNA", at positions 32 to 371 of the family's 1533-position model. The record is from RNAcentral.